GCACUGCUGAGGAGUCCCAUACUAGGACGAAACGGCCGUCCACUGC
This is a non-coding RNA of Schistosoma haematobium, 46 nucleotides long. The record is from Rfam. Lineage: Eukaryota; Metazoa; Platyhelminthes; Trematoda; Strigeidida; Schistosomatidae.